This is a long non-coding RNA of Vombatus ursinus (common wombat), 192 nucleotides long. RefSeq lists it as uncharacterized. The transcript has 3 exons. Lineage: Eukaryota; Metazoa; Chordata; Mammalia; Diprotodontia; Vombatidae. The record is from RefSeq and is a predicted model, not a curated record.
CCUGGGUUCCGUGUGAGGUGUAUCGUUCUGGUUGCUGGGUCCAGGGCAGUAACAGUUCUUCUAGUGAUGUGUAUUGGAACCUUUCCUGUGUGACUCUCAUCCAUGUUCUCCCCGCAAGUUUGCCACGGAGUGUCCACUCGAAAUGCAGUUUUUCUUCUGAGGACUGACUUAACUAGAUCCCCAAUAUGUGGG